UGGAGAAACUGGUUAUUUUACCAAGGCUUUGAUGGGAAUGGCGUGGUUCCCUUUAAGGAAGCAAAUAUGACUUAUAGAGCCAAUAAAAGCCCCUUGGGAAAACUGGCCUCAUACCUUGUCUACACAGUACUUGUACAGGGCUCCUGACCUAUGCUAUGCGGUUCAGCGGGAUGACCCCGCUACGGAGCAUUAUUGUCUCAUUCCAGUCGAAUGGACCAAUGACAUAGCAAUGUGUGACCUUGAGACUGGAGAAGGGAUUGAGCCUAACUUCAUCCCCCACCCCCUUCCAGCCUCCAUUCUACCUCUACUUUCAGCAUUUUCUUACUUGCAGACCCAGAAGAGGUUGGAGGUCCUGGCCAGUCUCUCACUCUUUUCCUUCUUCACUCACAUUUUUAUGUGUCUUUAAGUGGCUGGGAACAGCCAUGUUGACUCCAUACACCCAGAAGGUUGAGGAGAGUUUGCUAUUACAUCACUUCUGCUAAUUUCAGCUCUGCUGAUGAGCACACAGACCUCAGCAAAUCAACCAGACCAUUUCCAACCCCUCUUGACUUUAAGAAGACUGGGUCAUGCUCUGAGAAAUGAAAGCAGAGAAGGAGACGGCUUGCAAGCCCCCUGAGGUUACCACGAUAAGUGGGCUUGAGAGGGAGGUAAAAGCAAUUCAGAGGACCACUUGGGAAAGCCCAGACAGGAUAUUAUCAGUGGCCUGUGUAAAGUUCCCAUCACCAUCUAAAGUGAAAGAUGCCAGAAUUCUAAAAACUGACUGCAUUAUCUUCUCAGCUCUGCUUUGUGACUUCUAAGAAUUCAACUGCUUUUCUAUUUUAAAAUAGGGACAUUGUCCUCCUUCUCAAUGCAUCACCUGUAUCAUUUGGGACAUGCCCAUCAUCAGGUUGCUUUGACUGAACACCUUAAACAUUUCAUGGAAAACAGAAAAUAUGUGAAAAAAAAAUCUCCUCCUUGUCACGAGAUCCCAUAUAACACUCCAGCUUCUUCUUUAAUGUGGUGGAAAAACAUUCUAAAUACCCCAACGGAAGGGCAAGAAAACUGGAACCUAACUGACCAUCUUGAAACAUGUAAUAAAAACAGACACAUCAACCACACUUCCCAACAGGCUUGCUCCCUGAAUGUACACUAGUAAUUAUCUGAGGCUGUAACUGAAUUCAGCUAAAACAGAGAAGGCAGCUAUAGAGAAGCUCAGCACUUCUCUCAGGAACCCCUAAUCCUGAUGGAUUCCAGUCCACUGGGUCAUGAUGCCCUAAGAUUUCAAGUGCUGUGGCUGCAAACUGGAAAUUCUCCAAGGCUCUCCAAGGUGUGGAGUACUUUCUAAUCAUGAAGGCUGCUCCAGUAGGGUUUGGUGCAACACCACUUUUAUGCUGAGCUGCAAAACAAGGCAGGUAGUCAUAAUUGUGAGCUGUUUUCUGGAGCGAAAUACAGAGGGCACGUUUGAUGUCACCCCUUCCCUCUUGCCUGGCUUUCUUCCUUUCCUUGCUUCUGAUUGCCUGGUCAAAUAUCCAGCGCAGAUCAUGCCAGUCUGCCUAAAUGCAUUUCUCUCUGUCUGAAUGUAACAAAAUAAUCCCAACAACAAAAAUAAACUUUGGCUAGUAUCUCAA
Long non-coding RNA from Gorilla gorilla gorilla (western lowland gorilla), 1607 nucleotides. RefSeq lists it as uncharacterized. The transcript is spliced from 3 exons. The record is from RefSeq and is a predicted model, not a curated record. Lineage: Eukaryota; Metazoa; Chordata; Mammalia; Primates; Hominidae.